Long non-coding RNA from Stegodyphus dumicola, 348 nucleotides. The record is from RefSeq and is a predicted model, not a curated record. NCBI's taxonomy places the organism in Eukaryota, Metazoa, Arthropoda, Arachnida, Araneae, Eresidae.
UUUUAUUUGAAGUUUUAUUUACAGAAUCAUUACGGAUGCCAAAAAGGAACAUCUCGACAUGAAAUAAUUUAACUGUUAGAAUGUGAAGAUACAAAGAAAGAAAAUUGAUUUCAAAGCGUGAAUCUACUUGAAGAAAGAGAAUUAAAGCUCAUUUCUUUUCUUCAGUGCCUUUUCACAGUGAUAGAAAGCGAAAAAAUUUAGAUCAAGAAAAUGCGCAAGAACAUAUACUGCUGCGUGAUAAUGUGUGCGUUUUGGAAUAUCAAGUUUCAAAGGAAUUCAGUGUUUUAUGAGCCAUGCUUUGAAUCCUAAGAAGAAGAGGACUGCACCUUCACAACUAGUUAAUUAAAA